This 497-nucleotide ribosomal RNA is filed under the name uncultured bacterium. RNAcentral describes it as "partial 16S ribosomal RNA". It matches the Rfam family "Bacterial small subunit ribosomal RNA", at positions 28 to 507 of the family's 1533-position model. The record is from RNAcentral.
GAUGAACGCUGGCGGCGUGCCUAAUACAUGCAAGUCGAGCGAACAGACGAGGAGCUUGCUCCUCUGACGUUAGCGGCGGACGGGUGAGUAACACGUGGAUAACCUACCUAUAAGACUGGGAUAACUUCGGGAAACCGGAGCUAAUACCGGAUAAUAUAUUGAACCGCAUGGUUCAAUAGUGAAAGACGGUUUUGCUGUCACUUAUAGAUGGAUCCGCGCCGCAUUAGCUAGUUGGUAAGGUAACGGCUUACCAAGGCGACGAUGCGUAGCCGACCUGAGAGGGUGAUCGGCAACACUGGAACAGGACCACGGUCCAGACUCCUACGGGAGGCAGCAGUAGGGAAUCUUCCGCAAUGGGCGAAAGCCUGACGGAGCAACGCCGCGUGAGUGAUGAAGGUCUUCGAAUCGUAAAACUCUGUUAUUAGGGAAGAACAAAUGUGUAAGUAACUAUGCACGUCUUGACGGUAACUAGGCAGAAAGCCACGGCUAACUACGUG